This 380-nucleotide long non-coding RNA is filed under the name Brassica rapa (field mustard). RNAcentral describes it as "long non-coding RNA (BRAP_LNC000545)". Lineage: Eukaryota; Viridiplantae; Streptophyta; Magnoliopsida; Brassicales; Brassicaceae. The record is from RNAcentral.
UAUUAUGUUAUGGAGUAUUGUUAGAGUAUUUACAGGUUCAGGUACGUUCUGGAGAAAUAUGGUGAUUUUGGAGCCUUUUGAGUGCAGAGCUGCACAGACGCGUCAGAUGUUUAUCUAUGAAUGGAGACCUUUUCAUCGUUAGAUUGAGCCCAUCGUUUAACACAAGAUAGAGCUUUUGAGUUAACUUUCCAAUGCCGCCAGUUUGAGUUUAAUAAGCAUCUUGUAGGAGACGUUAUGCCCGUUUUACUGAAGAGUUGUCAGUCUGCCUCGCGAGAGGAAGCUGUCGAGGAGAUGCAUGAUUGUCGAUCGAUGAAACAGCAUUGCCAUCGAUCGACAGUGAUGGCCAAUCAUAUUUCAAGACCGAUUGAAGCUCAGAAGCC